UUGUUAACCCCCGCGGAUGGAGGCGUUGUAGCGGCCUCUCCCAGCGAUAUACCGCCUCUUGGGAAGGAAUGUUUUCUGGAUAUCCAACGUAACUGUUCCAAGCUGCAGGAUAGGGCCUUUGUCUCUAGUUAUAUGCCCCAUUCAGGGAGGAGAGUUUCUUUGUUGUCUUUGUGUGUGGCCUCCGAGUGGUUUUAGACCACCAUUAAUUCAGCCCUCAGCCUCCCCUUUGCCAGACUAGAUGAAAUAACAUUCCUUCAAACAUCCUGCUAGCCCCUGUGCCCCUGAGCCAGCCCACUUGAAUGUGUGAUGCCUUAUGUGUGAUGCCGUUUCAUUAUGGGACAGAGCGAGCACUGACAGCAGCCAGUGGCUCAGGUAAGCUGGGGUGAGGUCUGUACCCCACCACUUCUAUAAAGAGCAGAGAUUCCUACUGAAGCCUUUAUUUGGCAGAAUUGGCCCGGCAGCCUUUCCAGGUGAUGAAUUUAGGAUGAGGAAACAGAAAUUGUUGUCCUUGGCUUUGCAGGGUUAAUCUCAGCGCAGACACGUGUGCUGCUGUCUGUGUCCUCAGCGUCAGCCGGGAGGUGCACAGCAAAGAGCUGACGAGGGAGCUGCAGACCGGGAAAGACCUGUGACGAUCACUCCAUGGAUACGCUGCAGAGAGUUGUGGAGUGCCUGUGGAGGGAGGGUCCUGUGUGCGCAUGCUGACCUGCCCAGAAGAUGCAUGUAGGAACACAUAACUGGUGUGAAGGGAACCUCAGGCACAGAUCCCCCACCUUCAAAAGCAUCAGGCACGGAGGGCUCUGCGCAUCAGGGAAGCCCAUG
This 819-nucleotide long non-coding RNA is filed under the name Numida meleagris (helmeted guineafowl). Its description in RNAcentral is "lncRNA (ENSNMEG00000009728.1)". Lineage: Eukaryota; Metazoa; Chordata; Aves; Galliformes; Numididae. The record is from RNAcentral.